AAUAAAUCUGCCGCCCAGGGCAACAUUGAUGCAGGACCUUCUGCUGCUCACUUACUAGAAGAUAUGCCUAUUGAUCAUGAGGAUCUUGAUGCGCGACCUGCUGCUGCACACUUACCAGAAGGUAUACCUAUUGAUCAAGAGGAUCUUGAUGCGCAACCUGCUGUUGCACACUUAUCAGAAGAUACACCUAUCGAUCAAGAGAAUCUUGAUGCGCAACCUGCUGCAAAUUCAAUAUCUGUAGAUACUCAUUUCGAUCAGCAGGAAGACAUUGACACACAAACCGGCCAAGAAUCUGCCCCAUCGAUAGGUGUAUCUUCAGCUACAA
Molecule: long non-coding RNA, 325 nt
Filed under: Physcomitrium patens
Lineage: Eukaryota; Viridiplantae; Streptophyta; Bryopsida; Funariales; Funariaceae
Description: long non-coding RNA (PPAT_LNC009020)
Source: RNAcentral